Hyaena hyaena (striped hyena) is the source of this 489-nucleotide long non-coding RNA. RefSeq lists it as uncharacterized. Lineage: Eukaryota; Metazoa; Chordata; Mammalia; Carnivora; Hyaenidae. The record is from RefSeq and is a predicted model, not a curated record. The transcript is spliced from 3 exons.
CAGUUCCCGGAUCCUCUGUCCUCUCCGGACCUCGGGGACAGUUCGCGGCAGUGUCCCCAGCCCGGGACGCUCCCUCUGAAGGCUCUGCAGGUACGCCAUCAAUAACAUGGAGGCAGAGCCCAAUGUGACCAUCACAUCUGCAGGCUUCGGGGAGAGAAUGCGGAGGAAUGCGUGUGCUCGAUCUGCCCGUAUCUACCUGGAGGCCAGCGGCCACUUUUCACGGCGGGGGACCAUGCUGACAGGAGAUACUGAUGUGUGAGGAGACACUGAUGGUUGACACGUAUAUGAAAAGAUGCUCCACACAGUGCUCAUUCGGGAAAUGAGAUAGGAGUCAGAGGACUACUAUACUGAGAUUUGACUACAGAGGAUGGAAUAAAUCAGAGAGAUUGAAUGACUUGCCCAAGGCCACCCAGUGUGUCAGAGACAGAAUGGAAUAGAAUCCAGAAGAACGAGCAAGUACGUUUUCCAUUUUACCAUCUGCCCUCUCUC